Molecule: ribosomal RNA, 1410 nt
Rfam family: Bacterial small subunit ribosomal RNA
ACGGUGAAGCCAAGCUUGCUUGGUGGAUCAGUGGCGAACGGGUGAGUAACACGUGAGCAACCUGCCCUGAACUCUGGGAUAAGCGCUGGAAACGGCGUCUAAUACUGGAUAUGAGCUGCGGAGGCAUCUUCGUGGUUGGAAAGAUUUUUCGGUUUGGGAUGGGCUCGCGGCCUAUCAGCUUGUUGGUGAGGUAAUGGCUCACCAAGGCGUCGACGGGUAGCCGGCCUGAGAGGGUGACCGGCCACACUGGGACUGAGACACGGCCCAGACUCCUACGGGAGGCAGCAGUGGGGAAUAUUGCACAAUGGGCGGAAGCCUGAUGCAGCAACGCCGCGUGAGGGAUGACGGCCUUCGGGUUGUAAACCUCUUUUAGCAGGGAAGAAGCGAAAGUGACGGUACCUGCAGAAAAAGCGCCGGCUAACUACGUGCCAGCAGCCGCGGUAAUACGUAGGGCGCAAGCGUUAUCCGGAAUUAUUGGGCGUAAAGAGCUCGUAGGCGGUUUGUCGCGUCUGCUGUGAAAACCCGAGGCUCAACCUCGGGCCUGCAGUGGGUACGGGCAGACUAGAGUGCGGUAGGGGAGAUUGGAAUUCCUGGUGUAGCGGUGGAAUGCGCAGAUAUCAGGAGGAACACCGAUGGCGAAGGCAGAUCUCUGGGCCGUAACUGACGCUGAGGAGCGAAAGGGUGGGGAGCAAACAGGCUUAGAUACCCUGGUAGUCCACCCCGUAAACGUUGGGAACUAGUUGUGGGGUCCAUUCCACGGAUUCCGUGACGCAGCUAACGCAUUAAGUUCCCCGCCUGGGGAGUACGGCCGCAAGGCUAAAACUCAAAGGAAUUGACGGGGACCCGCACAAGCGGCGGAGCAUGCGGAUUAAUUCGAUGCAACGCGAAGAACCUUACCAAGGCUUGACAUACACGAGAACGCUGCAGAAAUGUAGAACUCUUUGGACACUCGUGAACAGGUGGUGCAUGGUUGUCGUCAGCUCGUGUCGUGAGAUGUUGGGUUAAGUCCCGCAACGAGCGCAACCCUCGUUCUAUGUUGCCAGCACGUAAUGGUGGGAACUCAUGGGAUACUGCCGGGGUCAACUCGGAGGAAGGUGGGGAUGACGUCAAAUCAUCAUGCCCCUUAUGUCUUGGGCUUCACGCAUGCUACAAUGGCCGGUACAAAGGGCUGCAAUACCGCGAGGUGGAGCGAAUCCCAAAAAGCCGGUCCCAGUUCGGAUUGAGGUCUGCAACUCGACCUCAUGAAGUCGGAGUCGCUAGUAAUCGCAGAUCAGCAACGCUGCGGUGAAUACGUUCCCGGGUCUUGUACACACCGCCCGUCAAGUCAUGAAAGUCGGUAACACCUGAAGCCGGUGGCCCAACCCUUGUGGAGGGAGCCGUCGAAGGUGGGAUCGGUAAUUAGGACUAAGU